UUUGCACUAUAAGGCGCACUUAAAAUUAAUCCUUUAAUUUUCCCAAAAAUCGUCAGUGUGCCUUAUAAUCCGGUGCACCUUAUGUAUAAAUUUUACUAGUCAGGUUGUAAGUAGCAGUAAAGCCACUCUGCUGAGCUACAGCAUUAUACAGGAGUUUGAGUGGAGUUUUUUUUCUGCACUGAGGCUGCACUGGAGCAGUAUUAGCAUUACCUGCUAACCAUGCUAAGCGCUAGCUCUUUUGCCAUUCAGAGGACUGUACAGGGAGAAGCUGUGACAGUGUAGGGAAUUUGCGGAGUUUGAUCUCACAGAGUCAUCUCAGAGUGACAGACCUGCAGAGAGAGACUGAACAGGAGAUUAUACGUGUGAGACAACAGCUGAGAUCAGUACGGCUACAGCAGAAAAUCCUGACCUGUGAACUACCAAGUCAAGAUAUUCUGCAGACUGAGGCUGAACACUUACCACAAAGAGCCGUAAACACAGAGACCUGUAACGUAAGUAGCCUAGACUCACAGUGACCAAUUACAACCAGUGUUAGUGUACACCCACUGGCCACU
This 554-nucleotide long non-coding RNA is filed under the name Astyanax mexicanus (Mexican tetra). RNAcentral's name for it is "lncRNA (ENSAMXG00005001016.1)". Lineage: Eukaryota; Metazoa; Chordata; Actinopteri; Characiformes; Acestrorhamphidae. The record is from RNAcentral.